Molecule: long non-coding RNA, 521 nt
Organism: Pseudophryne corroboree (corroboree frog)
Lineage: Eukaryota; Metazoa; Chordata; Amphibia; Anura; Myobatrachidae
Exons: 3
Source: RefSeq, a predicted model, not a curated record
GGAACUCUGCGCAACUCACAAGCAGGAAGGUGGCUGGAGACACAUAUACUGUAUCGCUAUUAGCUGCAUAUCACACUCAUUACCUGUACACCCGAGGAGAACAUGCAGUGCCAAGCAGACAGCCAGGAUGACCCGCGGGCCGCCCGUACUCCCCAUGUCCCUGCCGUGCUGUGUGCUCCUGCUGCAGUGCUGUCCCGGGAGCCUGUGUCAGUCACGCCGGAGAGCUCUGGCCAGCGCGAUUGGAAGCGCCGGCUGCUACCAUAGCAACCUGACGCAACAACGCGUGACAUCACAUGCAGCAGAUCCCGGAAGUCCAGGGCGCGCGGCGGUGAUGGAGUGGCCGAGCACGUCUCUUCUCAUUCGGGUGGCGGGUCUUCUCACGGUAUUUAAGGACGCUAGAAGGGACCCUGUCUGCACAUUAAAGAUGAUUGCGAACUGUCCGAUAAACACUUUGCCAUGUAUGACUGGCUUUUUUACAGGAUUCCGAGACAGGAUAAUGACAAUAGAAAUUUAGAAAGUUA